AGCAGCCGCGGUAAUUCCAGCUCCAAUAGCGUAUAUUAAAGUUGCUGCAGUUAAAAAGCUCGUAGUUGAAUUUCGGGACCAUCAUGUCGGUCGUGCCUCGGUACGUACUGGCAUUGUUGGUUUCUACCUUCUGACGAACCAUGAUGUCAUUUAUUUGGUGUCGUGGGAAAUCAGGACUGUUACUUUGAAAAAAUUAGAGUGUUUAAAGCAGGCUCACGCUUGAAUACAUUAGCAUGGAAUAAUGAAAUAGGACGUUUGAUUCUAUUUUGUUGGUUUCUAGGAUCGACGUAAUGAUUAAUAGGGAUAGUUGGGGGCAUUAGUAUUCAAUUGUCAGAGGUGAAAUUCUUGGAUUUAUUGAAGACUAACUACUGCGAAAGCAUUUGCCAAGGAUGUUUUCAUUAAUCAAGAACGAAAGUUAGGGGAUCGAAGACGAUCAGAUACCGUCGUAGUCUUAACCAUAAACUAUGCCGACUAGGGAUCGGAUGAUGUUAAUUUUUUAAUGACUCAUUCGGCGCCUUACG
Molecule: ribosomal RNA, 521 nt
Filed under: uncultured Glomus
Lineage: Eukaryota; Fungi; Glomeromycota; Glomeromycetes; Glomerales; Glomeraceae
Also listed under: 1 other name
Description: SSU rRNA
Rfam family: Eukaryotic small subunit ribosomal RNA
Source: RNAcentral